This 65-nucleotide transfer RNA is filed under the name Pedicinus obtusus. RNAcentral's name for it is "tRNA-Pro". The record is from RNAcentral. Lineage: Eukaryota; Metazoa; Arthropoda; Insecta; Psocodea; Pedicinidae.
CAAGAAUUAGUUUAUUAAAAAUACUUACUUUGGAAGUAAGCGAAAGGAUGUUCUCUUAUUCUUGA